This 305-nucleotide ribosomal RNA is filed under the name uncultured bacterium. Its description in RNAcentral is "bacterial SSU rRNA". It matches the Rfam family "Bacterial small subunit ribosomal RNA", at positions 337 to 641 of the family's 1533-position model. The record is from RNAcentral.
UCCCUACGGGACGCAGCAGUGGGGAAUAUUGCACAAUGGGGGAAACCCUGAUGCAGCGACGCCGCGUGAGUGAAGAAGUAUUUCGGUACGUAAAGCUCUAUCAGCAGGGAAGAAAGAAAGUCCUUUGGACUUUGGACGGUACCUGACCAAGAAGCCCCGGCUAACUACGUGCCAGCAGCCGCGGUAAUACGUAGGGGGCAAGCGUUAUCCGGAUUUACUGGGUGUAAAGGGAGCGUAGACGGCAGCGCAAGUCCGGAGUGAAAUGCCGGGGCCCAACCCCGGACCUGCUUUGGACACUGUGCAGC